GUUAUAUGGUCAAGUGAAGAAGCGCAUACGGUGGAUGCCUUGGCAGUCAGAGGCGAUGAAAGACGUGGUAGCCUGCGAAAAGCUUCGGGGAGUCGGCAAACAGACUGUGAUCCGGAGAUGUCUGAAUGGGGGAACCCAGCCAUCACAAGAUGGUUAUCUUGCACUGAAUACAUAGGUGCAAGAGGCGAACCAGGGGAACUGAAACAUCUAAGUACCCUGAGGAAAAGAAAUCAACCGAGAUUCCCUUAGUAGUGGCGAGCGAACGGGGACUAGCCCUUAAGCUUCUUUGAUUUUAGCGGAACGCUCUGGAAAGUGCGGCCAUAGUGGGUGAUAGCCCUGUACGCGAAAGGAUCUUAGAAGUGAAAUCGAGUAGGACGGAGCACGAGAAACUUUGUCUGAAUAUGGGGGGACCAUCCUCCAAGGCUAAAUACUACUGACUGACCGAUAGUGAACUAGUACCGUGAGGGAAAGGCGAAAAGAACCCCGGAGAGGGGAGUGAAAUAGAUCCUGAAACCGUAUGCGUACAAGCAGUGGGAGCCCACUUUGUUGGGUGACUGCGUACCUUUUGUAUAAUGGGUCAGCGACUUAUUUUCAGUGGCGAGCUUAACCGAAUAGGGGAGGCGUAGCGAAAGCGAGUCUUAAUAGGGCGUCUAGUCGCUGGGAAUAGACCCGAAACCGGGCGAUCUAUCCAUGGGCAGGUUGAAGGUUAGGUAACACUGACUGGAGGACCGAACCGACUACCGUUGAAAAGUUAGCGGAUGACCUGUGGAUCGG
This 774-nucleotide ribosomal RNA is filed under the name Mesorhizobium sp. RNAcentral's name for it is "partial 23S ribosomal RNA". It matches the Rfam family "Bacterial large subunit ribosomal RNA", at positions 1 to 819 of the family's 2925-position model. Lineage: Bacteria; Pseudomonadati; Pseudomonadota; Alphaproteobacteria; Hyphomicrobiales; Phyllobacteriaceae. The record is from RNAcentral.